GACAGAGGGUGCAAACGUUGUUCGGAAUUACUGGGCGUAAAGGGCUCGUAGGCGGCCAACUAAGUCGGAUGUGAAAUCCCCAGGCUUAACCUGGGAACUGCAUCCGAUACUGGAUGGCUUGAAUCCGGGAGAGGGAUGCAGAAUUCCAGGUGUAGCGGUGAAAUGCGUAGAUAUCUGGAGGAAUACCGGUGGCGAAGGCGGCAUCCUGGACCGGCAUUGACGCUGAUGAGCGAAAGCUAGGGGAGCAAACGGG
This 253-nucleotide ribosomal RNA is filed under the name uncultured bacterium. RNAcentral describes it as "partial 16S ribosomal RNA". It matches the Rfam family "Bacterial small subunit ribosomal RNA", at positions 524 to 776 of the family's 1533-position model. The record is from RNAcentral.